CAGCCGCCGCGGUAAUACAGAGGGUGCAAGCGUUAAUCGGAAUUACUGGGCGUAAAGCGCGCGUAGGUGGUUUGUUAAGUUGGAUGUGAAAUCCCCGGGCUCAACCUGGGAACUGCAUCCAAAACUGGCAAGCUAGAGUAUGGUAGAGGGUGGUGGAAUUUCCUGUGUAGCGGUGAAAUGCGUAGAUAUAGGAAGGAACACCAGUGGCGAAGGCGAGCACCUGGACUGAUACUGACACUGAGGUGCGAAAGCGUGGGGAGCAAACAGGAUUAGAUACCCCAGUAGUCCCUGUCUCUUAUAC
This 301-nucleotide ribosomal RNA is filed under the name uncultured bacterium. Its description in RNAcentral is "partial 16S ribosomal RNA". It matches the Rfam family "Bacterial small subunit ribosomal RNA", at positions 509 to 807 of the family's 1533-position model. The record is from RNAcentral.